RNAcentral lists this ribosomal RNA (446 nucleotides) under uncultured bacterium. RNAcentral describes it as "bacterial SSU rRNA". It matches the Rfam family "Bacterial small subunit ribosomal RNA", at positions 329 to 792 of the family's 1533-position model. The record is from RNAcentral.
CGCCAGACUCCUACGGGAGGCAGCAGUGGGGGAUAUUGCACAAUGGGGGGAACCCUGAUGCAGCGACGCCGCGUGAGUGAAGAAGUAUUUCGGUAUGUAAAGCUCUAUCAGCAGGGAAGAAAAUGACGGUACCUGACUAAGAAGCCCCGGCUAACUACGUGCCAGCAGCCGCGGUAAUACGUAGGGGGCAAGCGUUAUCCGGAUUUACUGGGUGUAAAGGGAGCGUAGACGGCAAGACAAGCCUGGAGUGAAAGGCGGGGGCCCAACCCCCGGACUGCUCUGGGAACUGUCUGGCUGGAGUGCAGGAGGGGUAAGUGGAAUUCCUAGUGUAGCGGUGAAAUGCGUAGAUAUUAGGAGGAACACCAGUGGCGAAGGCGGCUUACUGGACUGUAACUGACGUUGAGGCUCGAAAGCGUGGGGAGCAAACAGGAUUAGAUACCCCGGUA